AUGCUUCUUCUGCGUGGGACUCUUGUGGUAUUCUCUCUCUUCAGCUCUGUCAGUGGGUUUUUCGGCGAAUAUGGGCCAAAACCGACGACCCAGACCAAGGCAGGCUCCAAAGGAUGGGGCAUGCCCAACUUUAAAACAUUGAAAUCUAACAUUCCAUUCUUUGAUUUGGGAUCACGACUUUUAUUCGGUGGCACUAAAGGGUCUGCUACUACAAAGGUGAGCACAGCUUUCCCAGAAGCAACCACACAAAACUAUACUCUUUCUUCGAAGGACUUAAACCCAAAAUACCAGCCGACCACAACCUCGUUUGAGGUACUUCAAAGCAGCACUGUCCAGACAGGCACCCUGCUGCCUUUAAAAUCAGCUAAAUUGCCACAGAAAGAUGGAACAGAACCUCCUAAACUUUUUCAAAGCUAUGAUCUUGAUCUUUGGCCCCCUAAUAAUGGCCAAAGCACAGCGAAAACCCCACAAACAAUGAUAUCUAAACCAGAAACCCAAGCAUACACUGUAACCACGGCUCAGAGUACCAGCACCACGCACACUACAACACUGAGACCGAUUACGGAAACCAUGACCGUUUACAGUGACCAAACUGUACCCACAGAUACUCCGUCAACAAUGUCAGAACUCACAACACAAGCGUACACUGUAUCCACUGCUCAGAAUACCAGCAUCAUGCAAACUAAAGCACUAAAACUGAUGACGGAAACCAUGAACACUUACAGUGACCAAACUAUAGCCAUAGACACUCAGGCAACAACGUCACAACUUACGAUACCUUCAUUUCAAACCACACAUUUCCUCACACCAGCAGAAUCAGAAGUAUCUACCCAACCUUUGACCACUGUUAACACUGGACAUAACACAACAAACAUGGCCUCGAAACUAGAACGGACACCUUUUAAAACCACUGACAAGGCUCUGGAUGGAGUUUCGUGGGUAGAGCAGACCACAAGCCCAUCAGAAAAGAGAAGAGUGCAAAGUGUUGGCCCAGAUCCUACUCCCUCCCUAUCAGCAGGAGGUAAGUCAACCCCUCCUUUGUCUUUUCAUUUCCAACCCAAGCAUAUGAUCCAAGAUAAGCAAAAAUGUACACAAUUUGACCCAUCCAUAGCUGGCAUGGGUGUAUUACAGUACAUUUGUUCUUAUGUUAUACCUUUAUUUAAGGUGAAAAUGGGUGUUUAA
RNAcentral lists this long non-coding RNA (1182 nucleotides) under Carassius auratus (goldfish). Its description in RNAcentral is "lncRNA (ENSCARG00000062911.1)". Lineage: Eukaryota; Metazoa; Chordata; Actinopteri; Cypriniformes; Cyprinidae. The record is from RNAcentral.